RNAcentral lists this ribosomal RNA (764 nucleotides) under uncultured Candidatus Poseidoniales archaeon. RNAcentral describes it as "bacterial SSU rRNA". It matches the Rfam family "Archaeal small subunit ribosomal RNA", at positions 1 to 770 of the family's 1478-position model. The record is from RNAcentral. Lineage: Archaea; Methanobacteriati; Thermoplasmatota; Candidatus Poseidoniia; Candidatus Poseidoniales.
UUCUGGUUGAUCCUGCCGGAGGCUACCGCUAUUGGAGUUCGAUUAAGCCAUGCGAGUCGCGAGAAAUUAGAUUCUCGGCGUACCGCUCAGUAACACGUGGGUAACCUGCCCUAUGCUGGAUAAUAACCUCGGGAAACUGAGAAUAAUGAUCCAUAGUUCACUACGCCUGGAACGGUGAGUGGAUGAAAGCUCCGGCGGCAUAGGAUGGGCCUGCGGCGUAUCAGGUUGUAGGGGGUGUAACGUACCCUCUAGCCCUCUACGCGUACGGGUGUUGGGAGACAUAGCCCGGAGAUGGAUUCUGAGACACGAAUCCAGACCCUACGGGGUGCAGCAGGCGCGAAAACUUGGCAAUGCGAGAAAUCGUGACCAGGGAACUCCAAGUGCAUCGGGUAAGACCGGUGCUUUUCUUGACUCUAAAUAGGUCUUGGAAUAAGGGGUGGGUAAGGACGGUGCCAGCCGCCGCGGUAAUACCGGCGCCUCAAGUGGUAGUCGCUUUUAUUGGGCCUAAAACGUCCGUAGCCGGUCUGAUACAUUCGUGGGUAAAUCAACCAGCUCAACUGGUUGAAUUCUGCGAGGACGGUCAGACUUGGGACCGGGAGAGGUGUGGGGUACGCUCAGGGUAGGGGUAAAAUCCUGUCAUCCUGAGCGGACCACCUGUUGCGAAGGCGCCACACUAGAACGGAUCCGACGGUCAGGGACGAAGCCUAGGGGCACGAACCGGAUUAGAUACCCGGGUAGUCCUAGGUGUAAACGCUGUGGACUUG